CAGCCGCCACUGUAAUACAGAGGAUGCAAGCGUUAUCCGGAAUGAUUGGGCGUAAAGCGUCUGUAGGUGGCUUUUCAAGUCCGCCGUCAAAUCCCAGGGCUCAACCCUGGACAGGCGGUGGAAACUACCAAGCUGGAGUACGGUAGGGGCAGAGGGAAUUUCCGGUGGAGCAGUGAAAUGCGUUGAGAUCGGAAAGAACACCAACGGCGAAAGUACUCUGCUGGGCCGACACUGACACUGAGAGACGAAAGCUAGGGGAGCAAACGGGAUUAGAGACCCCCGUAGUCCCUGUCUCUUAUAA
This 301-nucleotide ribosomal RNA is filed under the name uncultured bacterium. RNAcentral describes it as "partial 16S ribosomal RNA". It matches the Rfam family "Bacterial small subunit ribosomal RNA", at positions 509 to 809 of the family's 1533-position model. The record is from RNAcentral.